This 1488-nucleotide ribosomal RNA is filed under the name Enterobacter sp. mixed culture J12-30. RNAcentral describes it as "bacterial SSU rRNA". It matches the Rfam family "Bacterial small subunit ribosomal RNA". The record is from RNAcentral. Lineage: Bacteria; Pseudomonadati; Pseudomonadota; Gammaproteobacteria; Enterobacterales; Enterobacteriaceae.
GAGUUUGAUCCUGGCUCAGAUUGAACGCUGGCGGCAGGCCUAACACAUGCAAGUCGAGCGGUAGCACAGGAGAGCUUGCUCUCUGGGUGACGAGCGGCGGACGGGUGAGUAAUGUCUGGGAAACUGCCUGAUGGAGGGGGAUAACUACUGGAAACGGUAGCUAAUACCGCAUAACGUCUUCGGACCAAAGUGGGGGACCUUCGGGCCUCACGCCAUCAGAUGUGCCCAGAUGGGAUUAGCUAGUAGGUGGGGUAAUGGCUCACCUAGGCGACGAUCCCUAGCUGGUCUGAGAGGAUGACCAGCCACACUGGAACUGAGACACGGUCCAGACUCCUACGGGAGGCAGCAGUGGGGAAUAUUGCACAAUGGGCGCAAGCCUGAUGCAGCCAUGCCGCGUGUAUGAAGAAGGCCUUCGGGUUGUAAAGUACUUUCAGCGGGGAGGAAGGCGAUAAGGUUAAUAACCUUGUCGAUUGACGUUACCCGCAGAAGAAGCACCGGCUAACUCCGUGCCAGCAGCCGCGGUAAUACGGAGGGUGCAAGCGUUAAUCGGAAUUACUGGGCGUAAAGCGCACGCAGGCGGUCUGUCAAGUCGGAUGUGAAAUCCCCGGGCUCAACCUGGGAACUGCAUUCGAAACUGGCAGGCUAGAGUCUUGUAGAGGGGGGUAGAAUUCCAGGUGUAGCGGUGAAAUGCGUAGAGAUCUGGAGGAAUACCGGUGGCGAAGGCGGGCCCCUGGACAAAGACUGACGCUCAGGUGCGAAAGCGUGGGGAGCAAACAGGAUUAGAUACCCUGGUAGUCCACGCCGUAAACGAUGUCGACUUGGAGGUUGUGCCCUUGAGGCGUGGCUUCCGGAGCUAACGCGUUAAGUCGACCGCCUGGGGAGUACGGCCGCAAGGUUAAAACUCAAAUGAAUUGACGGGGGCCCGCACAAGCGGUGGAGCAUGUGGUUUAAUUCGAUGCAACGCGAAGAACCUUACCUACUCUUGACAUCCAGAGAACUUUCCAGAGAUGGAUUGGUGCCUUCGGGAACUCUGAGACAGGUGCUGCAUGGCUGUCGUCAGCUCGUGUUGUGAAAUGUUGGGUUGAGUCCCGCAACGAGCGCAACCCUUAUCCUUUGUUGCCAGCGGUUAGGCCGGGAACUCAAAGGAGACUGCCAGUGAUAAACUGGAGGAAGGUGGGGAUGACGUCAAGUCAUCAUGGCCCUUACGAGUAGGGCUACACACGUGCUACAAUGGCGCAUACAAAGAGAAGCGACCUCGCGAGAGCAAGCGGACCUCAUAAAGUAUGUCGUAGUCCGGAUUGGAGUCUGCAACUCGACUCCAUGAAGUCGGAAUCGCUAGUAAUCGUAGAUCAGAAUGCUACGGUGAAUACGUUCCCGGGCCUUGUACACACCGCCCGUCACACCAUGGGAGUGGGUUGCAAAAGAAGUAGGUAGCUUAACCUUCGGGAGGGCGCUUACCACUUUGUGAUUCAUGACUGGGGUGAAGUC